This 474-nucleotide ribosomal RNA is filed under the name uncultured bacterium. RNAcentral describes it as "bacterial SSU rRNA". It matches the Rfam family "Bacterial small subunit ribosomal RNA", at positions 8 to 507 of the family's 1533-position model. The record is from RNAcentral.
AGAGUUUGAUCAUGGCUCAGGAUGAACGCUGGCGGCGUGCCUAACACAUGCAAGUCGUACGAGCUCGAUCUUCGGAACGGGUUAGUGGCGCACGGGUGAGUAACACGUAGGUGACCUACCCCAGAGUGGGGGAUAACUUCUCGAAAGAGAGGCUAAUACCGCAUACACUCGGUCAUUCAUUUGGCCGAGCAAAGCUCCGGCGCUUUGGGACGGGCCUGCGUCCGAUUAGCUAGUUGGUAGGGUAAUGGCUUACCAAGGCUUUGAUCGGUAGCUGGUCUGAGAGGACGAUCAGCCACACUGGCACUGACACACGGGCCAGACUCCUACGGGAGGCAGCAGUGAGGAAUAUUGGCAAUGGGCAAAAGCCUGACCCAGCAACGCCGCGUGAGGGAUGAAGGCCUUCGGGUUGUAAACCUCUUUCUGGGAGAAGAGACAAGGACGGUAUCCCAGGAAUAAGUCUCGGCUAACUACGUG